GUUGCCAGCGGUUAGGCCGGGAACUCAAAGGAGACUGCCAGUGAUAAACUGGAGGAAGGUGGGGAUGACGUCAAGUCAUCAUGGCCCUUACGACCAGGGCUACACACGUGCUACAAUGGCGCAUACAAAGAGAAGCGACCUCGCGAGAGCAAGCGGACCUCAUAAAGUGCGUCGUAGUCCGGAUUGGAGUCUGCAACUCGACUCCAUGAAGUCGGAAUCGCUAGUAAUCGUGGAUCAGAAUGCCACGGUGAAUACGUUCCCGGGCCUUGUACACACCGCCCGUCACACCAUGGGAGUGGGUUGCAAAAGAAGUAGGUAGCUUAACCUUCGGGAGGGCGCUUACCACUUUGUGAUUCAUGACUGGGGUGAAGUCGUAACAAGGUAACCGUAGGGGAACCUGCGGUUGGA
Molecule: ribosomal RNA, 408 nt
Filed under: Salmonella enterica subsp. enterica serovar Mississippi
Lineage: Bacteria; Pseudomonadati; Pseudomonadota; Gammaproteobacteria; Enterobacterales; Enterobacteriaceae
Description: bacterial SSU rRNA
Rfam family: Bacterial small subunit ribosomal RNA
Source: RNAcentral